GGACGGGUGGCCGAGUGGCUGAAGGCGCACGCUUGGAAAGCGUGUUAACGGGCAACCGUUACGUGGGUUCGAAUCCCACCCUGUCCGCCU
Molecule: transfer RNA, 90 nt
Filed under: Gemmatimonadetes bacterium 13_1_40CM_3_65_8
Lineage: Bacteria; Pseudomonadati; Gemmatimonadota
Also listed under: 2 other names
Description: tRNA-Ser
Rfam family: tRNA
About the family: Transfer RNA (tRNA) molecules are approximately 80 nucleotides in length.
Source: RNAcentral